RNAcentral lists this ribosomal RNA (402 nucleotides) under uncultured bacterium. RNAcentral's name for it is "bacterial SSU rRNA". It matches the Rfam family "Bacterial small subunit ribosomal RNA", at positions 355 to 774 of the family's 1533-position model. The record is from RNAcentral.
UGGGGAAUAUUGCACAAUGGGGGAAACCCUGAUGCAGCGACGCCGCGUGAAGGAAGAAGUAUUUCGGUAUGUAAACUUCUAUCAGCAGGGAAGAACAUGACGGUACCUGACUAAGAAGCCCCGGCUAACUACGUGCCAGCAGCCGCGGUAAUACGUAGGGGGCAAGCGUUAUCCGGAUUUACUGGGUGUAAAGGGAGCGUAGACGGAGCGGCAAGUCUGGAGUGAAAACCCGGGGCUUAACCCUGGGACUGCUUUGGAAACUGUCGUUCUUGAGUGCCGGAGGGGUAAGCGGAAUUCCUAGUGUAGCGGUGAAAUGCGUAGAUAUUAGGAGGAACACCAGUGGCGAAGGCGGCUUACUGGACGGCAACUGACGUUGAGGCUCGAAAGCGUGGGGAGCAAACA